GAGCUCGUAGCUCAGAUGGUAGAGCACCGCCCUUUUAAGGCGAGGGUCCUGGGUUCGAUCCCCAGCGAGCUCACCA
This 76-nucleotide transfer RNA is filed under the name Acidobacterium capsulatum ATCC 51196. Its description in RNAcentral is "tRNA-Lys (TTT) (tRNA-Lys-TTT-1-1)". It matches the Rfam family "tRNA". Rfam says of the family: Transfer RNA (tRNA) molecules are approximately 80 nucleotides in length. Their secondary structure includes four short double-helical elements and three loops (D, anti-codon, and T loops). The record is from RNAcentral. RNAcentral also lists the same sequence under 1 other name. Lineage: Bacteria; Pseudomonadati; Acidobacteriota; Terriglobia; Terriglobales; Acidobacteriaceae.